CAGGAUAUCUCGCUGUUCACCUCGGCAUUCACCGGGCCAGCUGGCGGGGGUCUUCCAGGAAGGGGUCCUGUCUCCCCCUCCCCCUUCUUUCCUUAGGUGCGCUGGGAUUACAGGCACCUGCCUCGCCAUCGGGCCCAGCACAUACUGGACAUUCUUCAGGAUGUGGACAAGAUGAAGAAAACCCCUGAAAUACUGUUGCAUCUUCCCUGGGACCAAAGCCCUGGGAAACAGGUCUUAACAAUACUGGCCACAACUGAAACUGAGCUAGCCACCAGAGCCAAGAGCUUUGCCAGGAAAGGCGAGUCCCUGCCAUUCAGCAGAAGGCUUGUGCUGCCGCUGGGACCCACAAGGC
Jaculus jaculus (lesser Egyptian jerboa) is the source of this 352-nucleotide long non-coding RNA. RefSeq lists it as uncharacterized. Lineage: Eukaryota; Metazoa; Chordata; Mammalia; Rodentia; Dipodidae. The record is from RefSeq and is a predicted model, not a curated record. The transcript has 3 exons.